AGCAUUGUGGCUUAGUGGAAAGAGCCUGGGCCUGGAAGGCAGAGGACCUGGGUUCCAAUCCCAGCUCUGCCA
Molecule: transfer RNA, 72 nt
Filed under: Ornithorhynchus anatinus (platypus)
Lineage: Eukaryota; Metazoa; Chordata; Mammalia; Monotremata; Ornithorhynchidae
Rfam family: tRNA
About the family: Transfer RNA (tRNA) molecules are approximately 80 nucleotides in length.
Source: Rfam by way of RNAcentral